RNAcentral lists this ribosomal RNA (1307 nucleotides) under uncultured bacterium. Its description in RNAcentral is "bacterial SSU rRNA". It matches the Rfam family "Bacterial small subunit ribosomal RNA", at positions 28 to 1381 of the family's 1533-position model. The record is from RNAcentral.
AACGUACGCUGGCGGCACGCCUAACACAUGCAAGUCGAACGAAGUAGCAAUACUUAGUGGCAGACGGGUGAGUAACAUGUAGGUAUCUGCCCUUUUGGCCUGGAAUAACACGAGGAAACUUGUGCUAAUACCGGAUAAGUCUUUACGGAGAAAGCUUUAUGCACCAUUGGAUGAGCCUGCACUUGAUUAGUUUGUUGGUGGGGUAAUGGCCUACCAAGACUGUGAUCAAUAGCUGAUUUGAGAGGAUGAUCAGCCACAUUGGGACUGAGACACGGCCCAAACUCCUACGGGAGGCAGCAGUGGGGAAUCUUGCACAAUGGAGGAAACUCUGAUGCAGCGAUGCCGCGUGAGUGAAGAAGGCCCUUGGGUUGUAAAGCUCUUUCGUCGGGGAAGAAAAUGACUGUACCCGAAUAAGAAGGUCCGGCUAACUUCGUGCCAGCAGCCGCGGUAAUACGAAGGGACCUAGCGUAGUUCGGAAUUACUGGGCUUAAAGAGUUCGUAGGUGGUUGAAAAAGUUAGUGGUGAAAUCCCAGAGCUUAACUCUGGAACUGCCAUUAAAACUUUUCAGCUAGAGUAUGAUAGAGGAAAGCAGAAUUUCUAGUGUAGAGGUGAAAUUCGUAGAUAUUAGAAAGAAUACCAAUUGCGAAGGCAGCUUUCUGGAUCAUUACUGACACUGAGGAACGAAAGCAUGGGUAGCGAAGAGGAUUAGAUACCCUCGUAGUCCAUGCCGUAAACGAUGUGUGUUAGACGUUGGAAAUUUAUUUUCAGUGUCGCAGGGAAACCGAUAAACACACCGCCUGGGGAGUACGACCGCAAGGUUAAAACUCAAAUGAAUUGACGGGGACCCGCACAAGUAGUGGAGCAUGUGGUUUAAUUCGAAGAUACGCGCAGAACCUUACCAACACUUGACAUGUUCGUCGCGACUCUAAGAGAUUAGAGUUUUCGGUUCGGCCGGACGAAACACAGGUGCUGCAUGGCUGUCGUCAGCUCGUGUCGUGAGAUGUUGGGUUAAGUCCCGCAACGAGCGCAACCCUCACUUUUAGUUGCCAUCAUUAAGUUGGGCACUCUGAAAGAACUGCCAGUGAUAAGCUGGAGGAAGGUGGGGAUGACGUCAAGUCCUCAUGGCCCUUACGUGUUGGGCUACACACGUGCUACAAUGGUAUCUACAACAGGAAGCAAAACUGCGAAGUUAAGCAAAUCCCCAAAAGAUACCUCAGUUCGGAUUGCACUCUGCAACUCGAGUGCAUGAAGCUGGAAUUACUAGUAAUCGUGGAUCAGCGUGCCACGGUGAAUGCGUUCCCGGGUCU